AUUGAACGCUAGCGGGAUGCUUUACACAUGCAAGUCGAACGGCAGCGCGGACUUCGGUCUGGCGGCGAGUGGCGAACGGGUGAGUAAUGUAUCGGAACGUGCCCAGUAGCGGGGGAUAACUACGCGAAAGCGUAGCUAAUACCGCAUACGCCCUACGGGGGAAAGCAGGGGAUCGUAAGACCUUGCACUAUUGGAGCGGCCGAUAUCGGAUUAGCUAGUUGGUGAGGUAACGGCUCACCAAGGCGACGAUCCGUAGCUGGUUUGAGAGGACGACCAGCUACACUGGGACUGAGACACGGCCCAGACUCCUACGGGAGGCAGCAGUGGGGAAUUUUGGACAAUGGGGGCAACCCUGAUCCAGCCAUCCCGCGUGUGCGAUGAAGGCCUUCGGGUUGUAAAGCACUUUUGGCAGGAAAGAAACGUCGCGGGCUAAUACCCCGUGGAACUGACGGUACCUGCAGAAUAAGCACCGGCUAACUACGUG
This 484-nucleotide ribosomal RNA is filed under the name uncultured bacterium. RNAcentral describes it as "partial 16S ribosomal RNA". It matches the Rfam family "Bacterial small subunit ribosomal RNA", at positions 30 to 507 of the family's 1533-position model. The record is from RNAcentral.